Molecule: ribosomal RNA, 433 nt
Filed under: uncultured bacterium
Lineage: Bacteria
Description: partial 16S ribosomal RNA
Rfam family: Bacterial small subunit ribosomal RNA
Source: RNAcentral
AACGAACGCUGGCGGCAUGCCUAACACAUGCAAGUCGAACGAAGCCUUCGGGCUUAGUGGCGCACGGGUGCGUAACGCGUGGGAAUCUGCCCCUUGCUUCGGAAUAACAGUUAGAAAUGACUGCUAAUACCGGAUGAAGUCUUCGGACCAAAGAUUUAUCGGCAAGGGAUGAGCCCGCGUAGGAUUAGGUAGUUGGUGGGGUAAAGGCCUACCAAGCCGACGAUCCUUAGCUGGUCUGAGAGGAUGAUCAGCCACACUGGGACUGAGACACGGCCCAGACUCCUACGGGAGGCAGCAGUGGGGAAUAUUGGACAAUGGACGCAAGUCUGAUCCAGCAAUGCCGCGUGAGUGAUGAAGGCCUUAGGGCUGUAAAGCUCUUUUACCAGGGAUGAUAAUGACAGUACCUGGAGAAUAAGCUCCGGCUAACUCCGUG